RNAcentral lists this ribosomal RNA (789 nucleotides) under Paraboeremia putaminum. RNAcentral describes it as "partial large subunit ribosomal RNA". It matches the Rfam family "Eukaryotic large subunit ribosomal RNA", at positions 98 to 905 of the family's 3401-position model. Lineage: Eukaryota; Fungi; Ascomycota; Dothideomycetes; Pleosporales; Didymellaceae. RNAcentral also lists the same sequence under 2 other names. The record is from RNAcentral.
GCGGCAACAGCUCAAAUUUGAAAUCUGGCGUCUUUGGCGUCCGAGUUGUAAUUUGCAGAGGGCGCUUUGGCAUUGGCAGCGGUCCAAGUUCCUUGGAACAGGACGUCACAGAGGGUGAGAAUCCCGUACGUGGUCGCUAGCCUUUACCGUGUAAAGCCCCUUCGACGAGUCGAGUUGUUUGGGAAUGCAGCUCUAAAUGGGAGGUAAAUUUCUUCUAAAGCUAAAUACUGGCCAGAGACCGAUAGCGCACAAGUAGAGUGAUCGAAAGAUGAAAAGCACUUUGGAAAGAGAGUUAAAAAGCACGUGAAAUUGUUGAAAGGGAAGCGCUUGCAGCCAGACUUGCCUGUAGUUGCUCAUCCGGGUUUUUACCCGGUGCACUCUUCUAUAGGCAGGCCAGCAUCAGUUUGGGCGGUUGGAUAAAGGUCUCUGUCAUGUACCUCUCUUCGGGGAGAACUUAUAGGGGAGACGACAUGCAACCAGCCUGGACUGAGGUCCGCGCAUCUGCUAGGAUGCUGGCGUAAUGGCUGUAAGCGGCCCGUCUUGAAACACGGACCAAGGAGUCUAACAUCUAUGCGAGUGUUUGGGUGUCAAGCCCGAGCGCGUAAUGAAAGUGAACGGAGGUGGGAACCUUUCGGGGUGCACCAUCGACCGAUCCUGAUGUCUUCGGAUGGAUUUGAGUAAGAGCAUAGCUGUUGGGACCCGAAAGAUGGUGAACUAUGCUUGAAUAGGGUGAAGCCAGAGGAAACUCUGGUGGAGGCUCGCAGCGGUUCUGACGUGCAAAUCGAUCGU